GUAAAGAUCAUCAAACUACAAACAAUCUUAGCUAGAGCCCUCGCGCAAUUGGACCCUUCUUUAGGCUCUCACGGUCAAGGAAAAGAUGAUGGCAGCAUCAACCACAUGGUUAUUCAGUUUGUGUCCCCACUAUAAAUAUAUAAUUGGGUCAUCUAAUUGAUCUUUUCUGGAUGGGAUCACCUAAAUGAAUUAUUGAUUAACUGGACCAGCUUGUGAUAAUAUAUUGUUAAAUUUACACGUCCCAUUUUUCUUUUUUGAGGUUUGUUUUCUCGUAUAUGUUAUUGGGUGAUAUAUACUUGUUAAAUACAUACUUGAAAGAUCUAUGCUAAAGCAAGAGUAUUUUACAAUUGGAAUGAGGGUGGGAAAAAUGUGAAGCAGAAAAGCAACCUUAUUUUCAUGUGAAUGUUUGGCUAUUAUUGUUGCA
Molecule: long non-coding RNA, 424 nt
Organism: Glycine soja
Lineage: Eukaryota; Viridiplantae; Streptophyta; Magnoliopsida; Fabales; Fabaceae
Exons: 2
Source: RefSeq, a predicted model, not a curated record